UACGAAGGGGGCUAGCGUUGUUCGGAUUUACUGGGCGUAAAGCGUACGUAGGCGGAUCGUUAAGUCGGGGGUGAAAUCCUGGAGCUCAACUCCAGAACUGCCUUCGAUACUGGCGAUCUUGAGUCCGGAAGAGGUGAGUGGAACUCCUAGUGUAGAGGUGGAAUUCGUAGAUAUUAGGAAGAACACCAGUGGCGAAGGCGGCUUACUGGUCCGGUACUGACGCUGAGGUGCGAAAGCGUGGGGAGCAAACAGG
Molecule: ribosomal RNA, 253 nt
Filed under: uncultured bacterium
Lineage: Bacteria
Description: partial 16S ribosomal RNA
Rfam family: Bacterial small subunit ribosomal RNA
Source: RNAcentral